UACUGACUGCCCUAGCAGACGCUCGUAGAGAUGGUAUGACUUACUUACGAGGUAAAAAUG
This 60-nucleotide non-coding RNA is filed under the name unclassified sequences. The record is from RNAcentral.